AGAAAGGUAAUGCACUGAGGCUAAGAUGAUAUUUUUUACGGAAAGUUUCAUACAUGUUGUUUUAAGGAACAAAUUGAUUGGUUAUUUGGCAAGGCAAUGAGGUGUUCUGUGCAAAAAGAAUUGAUGGUGUAUAAAGUCCCUCUGUGUUCUGAUUUUUCCUGUUCUGGUCCCUUUAAAUAAUUGUUUUGCACAGAAUGCCUUUUACUGAAGCCAUGACUACUCAUGUUCUUUACUUAUGAUCAUAUGGUCAAAAGGGAAUCCUAGCCUCACCGUGUUCCUUUUAUUGAAAUGCGUUGGAAAUUAUGAAUAUGGUCACUAUUUCUUUAGUGUUCUUGUUUUUUCAUGAUCUUCAUCCUUCUUUUCCUAUAAAAAGAAAGGUAAUGCACUGAGGUUAAGAUGAUUUUUUUACGGAAAGUUUCAUACAUAUUGUUUUAAGGGACAAAUUGAUUGGUUAUUUGGCAAGGCAAUGAGGUGUUCUGUGCAAAAAGAAUUGAUGGCAUAUAAAGUCCCUCUGUUUUCUGAUUUUUCCUGUUCUGGUCCCUUUAAAUAAUUGUUUUGCACAGAAUGCCUUUUACUGCAGCCAUGACUUCUCAUGUUCUUUACUUA
This 606-nucleotide long non-coding RNA is filed under the name Populus tremula. RNAcentral describes it as "long non-coding RNA (PTRE_LNC000415)". The record is from RNAcentral. Lineage: Eukaryota; Viridiplantae; Streptophyta; Magnoliopsida; Malpighiales; Salicaceae.